This 253-nucleotide ribosomal RNA is filed under the name uncultured bacterium. Its description in RNAcentral is "partial 16S ribosomal RNA". It matches the Rfam family "Bacterial small subunit ribosomal RNA", at positions 524 to 776 of the family's 1533-position model. The record is from RNAcentral.
UACAGAGGUCCCGAGCGUUGUUCGGAUUCACUGGGCGUAAAGGGUGCGUAGGUGGUUGGGUAAGUCUGAUGUGAAAUCUCCGGGCUCAACCCGGAAAUGGCAUUGGAUACUAUUCGGCUAGAGGUUUGGAGGGGGGACUGGAAUUCUCGGUGUAGCAGUGAAAAGCGUAGAUAUCGAGAGGAACACCAGUGGCGAAGGCGAGUCCCUGGACAACACCUGACACUGAGGCACGAAAGCUAGGGGAGCAAACAGG